RNAcentral lists this ribosomal RNA (896 nucleotides) under Ramularia nyssicola. RNAcentral's name for it is "LSU rRNA". It matches the Rfam family "Eukaryotic large subunit ribosomal RNA", at positions 36 to 963 of the family's 3401-position model. The record is from RNAcentral. Lineage: Eukaryota; Fungi; Ascomycota; Dothideomycetes; Mycosphaerellales; Mycosphaerellaceae.
UAGCAUAUCAAUAAGCGGAGGAAAAGAAACCAACAGGGAUUGCCCUAGUAACGGCGAGUGAAGCGGCAACAGCUCAAAUUUGAAAUCUGGCGCAAGCCCGAGUUGUAAUUUGUAGAGGAUGCUUCUAGGUAGCGACCGGUCUAAGUUCCUUGGAACAGGACGUCAUAGAGGGUGAGAAUCCCGUAUGUGACCGGCCCGCACCUUCUACGUAGCUCCUUCGACGAGUCGAGUUGUUUGGGAAUGCAGCUCUAAAUGGGAGGUAAAUUUCUUCUAAAGCUAAAUACCGGCCAGAGACCGAUAGCGCACAAGUAGAGUGAUCGAAAGAUGAAAAGCACUUUGGAAAGAGAGUUAAAAAGCACGUGAAAUUGUUGAAAGGGAAGCGCUCACAACCAGACUUCUGGGCGGUGUUCCGCCGGUCUUUUGACCGGUCUACUCGCCGUCCCGAGGCCAACAUCAUCUGGGACCGCUGGAUAAGACCUCAGGAAUGUAGCUCCCCUCGGGGAGUGUUAUAGCCUGUGGUGAUGCAGCGCGUCUCGGGUGAGGUCCGCGCUUCGGCAAGGAUGUUGGCGUAAUGGUUGUCAGCGGCCCGUCUUGAAACACGGACCAAGGAGUCUAACAUCUAUGCGAGUGUUCGGGUGUCAAACCCCUACGCGUAAUGAAAGUGAACGGAGGUGGGAAGCGUAAGCUGCACCAUCGACCGAUCCUGAUGUCCUCGGAUGGAUUUGAGUAAGAGCAUAGCUGUUGGGACCCGAAAGAUGGUGAACUAUGCCUGAAUAGGGUGAAGCCAGAGGAAACUCUGGUGGAGGCUCGCAGCGGUUCUGACGUGCAAAUCGAUCGUCAAAUUUGGGUAUAGGGGCGAAAGACUAAUCGAACCAUCUAGUAGCUGGUUCCUGCGA